UUGGCUGUGCGCGACGCAUGC
Molecule: unclassified non-coding RNA, 21 nt
Filed under: Chlamydomonas reinhardtii
Lineage: Eukaryota; Viridiplantae; Chlorophyta; Chlorophyceae; Chlamydomonadales; Chlamydomonadaceae
Description: small RNA Cre_3997
Source: RNAcentral